AGCAAUACAGAUGGAUUUUUACUGGGAUUUCUGAUCAUGAACUGGGAAGUUUCGCAGCAGCCAGUUCCAGGGACGCUGCUGGAAGGACCUGAGUGCUUCCAACAAAGGAGAAGAACGACAAAGGUGACGACAUACAUGAUCGUCUUCUGAACACACAGCUGCUACCCAACCGAAAAGCUCUACUCUACUCUACUCUGUCAUGAUAGCUUAGCCUGUAAUUUUCUUACUGUUCGUUAAUACACAGAUCUACCUAUAAUCAAUUCGCCCGAUUUUAGAAUAGUGUUAUUUCAUUGGAGCUCAGGUUUAUGGAAAAGCCUGGGUGGUCUACCAACUUGCAUAACUCUCAUAUACAGGCGGACGCUCUAGCAAAUUUUGAAAUUGUAUCCGUGCAAAUGAAUUUUUAAAGCCAUAAUUUACUCCAAAGGAGCAUGUUCUGGUUCUGCUAAUAAUAUUUCUGAUUCCCAUAGUUGUAUUAGCCAACUGACAUGAACUUGGACAAGGUAACAAGGAAACAUUCCGAGUACACUCCAAGUUAUAAUUAGAGUACAGCCAGGUGUUCCUAUUAUAUUGCGAAAAACCAUUGGACAAACUUCAACUGAGGCGAUCUUAAGAAAUAUUUUGUUGAUCUAAAAUUACGUUUGGAAUGUAUUUCUGGAGCCUUGUUGGACAACUUAUAUCCUUAAUGACUUUAUUUUCCACUUGCUUUUGGUUACAAAUGGGCUUUGAAAUUCGUCAAUCAUCCCAUUGAAAGCCAUACUUUAGACUUGAAAAUAUGCCUUUAAAAUUGGGGCGCUUUUAGGAUAUCUAGGUCCAAUUCUAAAAACAAUGUUUGUAGCGUGUAUGUGUGUGAAAGUUGUUCAUCAUUUUACAUCCUAAUUAACUGAAUUCUUUUUUAUUUGACCCCCAAAUUGACCUGGAACUUCAGCAAUUAUUCCACAGGAGCCCAUCAAGCAUCACACCCCAUGGGUCUACAUGAAGGGGCGCAACACUCAGUUACUGGAUUCUAAAUGGUCUGACGUCUUUUCUGUGUGUGUGCAACAACGGUGCCGAGGGGAGCGAUACAACACCCGGAACAGUGUCGCCCGAAGAAGAAUACCAGGCCGAGAGCAAAGCUGCAUGCUGACAAGCGAUUCUUCUGCAAUGUCAGGAGUACACAUUGAGGGCACAGGCAGUAGAAAGCCUGUCCUACUUCAACGGUCCCAGAAUAUGAUAUGGUAGAAAUGCCAUGAGCAUGCGCUGUUCAAAUUUGUAUAUGUAAUUUUGCGUGCGACAGGGAUCGUCUCCCCUCGAAUGUAUUUGGCGCGUGCUGGAAUGUGGUUUGAAUCAUCACUUUUCAGUGACUAAAGUCUGAAUUGUUCAAACAAUUGAAAAUGAAAAUUUGAACGUGUUUGAACCUAUUUUUAUACAUGUUGGAAACAUUGGGAAAGUAACGGUACAAAUGUCUCUUUAUUUCAAAGAAUUUAGAAACAUAUGUAUGUGUUUUUGUCAUCUUCCCCCAUAAAAACUUUUAUUACCCCCAUAAAACAAGCUGCAAAGCUGGAUCUUUUGUUUGGGUCUUGUAUCUUUAGAUUGAUUUUCUUUCGUGGGCACUGGUGACUCUUUGUAAGAUGUAAGACUCAAUUUCCUGUACUUGGAAGGGAAUGUGUGAAUUACCCUCUUCCCAGCCCACUGACCAUGUUAUUCACAGAUGUUUGCACAUGAAGACUGAACCUUUCUGUUUCACGUAAAAGAUUGAACAUAGGCAUGUUUUACACACAUAAGGCAGAACACUGAACAUACUUCUGGUAACACAGAAGUCCGAGUCAAUGGAUAUGAGCAUCCAUCUGUUUGGUAUGUUCAAGACUAUACAUGUACAGCAUUCCUUUUUCCUCACAGGUUUGUACAUGUACACCCUUCUGUUUUCCACAGAAGAUUGUAUAUGUAACCAUUACAUCUGUUUUUCAUAUUCUAUACUGCAGAUGUGCAGUUUUUAACACGGUACAUCUACAGUCUUUUGUUUUUGAGACGACCACCCUCUAAUAUAAGCACUUCUUGGUGCCACAGAUGCCAUAAAACGCCAUGAACAGAUUCCAUUGACCAGUGAAUUCUCUUUCACACUAUCUACUUAUCCAUGAGAGCAAAGAGGUCCCAAGUUUUUCCGCCUCCUUGAUGGGAGGUAACUCUGACUUGAUUAAUUCAACUUGAAACUAUCAUAAUAUUAUAACUAUUCUUUUAUAUUACCCCUCUUUCUUUUGUUAACAUAUGUGAUACCUUUUUUUAUAUCGACAUGUAUACCUUUAUUUAUAAACAAUGUUAUUACUACUAUUUCACAAAUCUAUUUCUCAACCUCACCAUAUAUAACUGACGAUAUGCACUAUAUCAUUUAUCAAUAUUAGCCCUGUUUGUUUUGUUAACAUGUAUACCUUUAUUUAUAUACAAUAUUGUAACAGUACAAUAUAUCAGUUAUCUAUCAUGAUAUUAACUAUUCUAACUAUUUUGUUCACAUAUAUACCUUUAUUUAUAUCUACAUAUAUACCUUUAUUUACAUACAAUAUAUAACAGUAUUCUAUAACAAUGUUAUUACUACUAUUUCACAAAUCUCUGUUUCUCAACAUAUAUGACUGUUAUCUGUCAAUAAAAAGCACUGCAAUUGUCGCUGUUUCAUUUGUACAUGUAUUUACCUUUAGCUAUAUAUCGAUACCUUGCUACCAUACAUAUAGCAGCA
Long non-coding RNA from Branchiostoma floridae (Florida lancelet), 2704 nucleotides. RefSeq lists it as uncharacterized. The record is from RefSeq and is a predicted model, not a curated record. Lineage: Eukaryota; Metazoa; Chordata; Leptocardii; Amphioxiformes; Branchiostomatidae. The transcript is spliced from 3 exons.